ACCCCUUGGCAAUGGGCAAGGAGACACCUGAUUGGUGGUGUUGCUCUUAUAUCAUCAGUCAGGGGCAAAGCAGAUGUACAGUCCUUAGUUCAUCCUAGCUUGAUGCCUGUGUCGGUGGCCAGAGCUAUUUCAUUCCUGAGGCACAUAA
Molecule: small nucleolar RNA, 148 nt
Filed under: Myotis lucifugus (little brown bat)
Lineage: Eukaryota; Metazoa; Chordata; Mammalia; Chiroptera; Vespertilionidae
Description: Small nucleolar RNA SNORA48
Rfam family: Small nucleolar RNA SNORA48
About the family: The snoRNA ACA 48 has been identified to guide pseudouridylation of the residue U3797 in the 28S rRNA subunit. Its host gene EIF4A1 (eukaryotic translation initiation factor 4A1) is shared with U67 and snoRNA mgU6-77
Source: Rfam by way of RNAcentral